RNAcentral lists this ribosomal RNA (466 nucleotides) under uncultured bacterium. RNAcentral's name for it is "partial 16S ribosomal RNA". It matches the Rfam family "Bacterial small subunit ribosomal RNA", at positions 28 to 507 of the family's 1533-position model. The record is from RNAcentral.
GAUGAACGCUGGCGGCGUGCUUAACACAUGCAAGUCGAACGAUGAAGCUCAGCUUGCUGGGUGGAUUAGUGGCGAACGGGUGAGUAACACGUGAGUAACCUGCCCUUAACUCUGGGAUAAGCCUGGGAAACUAGGUCUAAUACCGGAUAGGAGCGCCUACCGCAUGGUGGGUGUUGGAAAGAUUUAUCGGUUUUGGAUGGACUCGCGGCCUAUCAGCUUGUUGGUGAGGUAAUGGCUCACCAAGGCGACGACGGGUAGCCGGCCUGAGAGGGUGACCGGCCACACUGGGACUGAGACACGGACCAGACUCCUACGGGAGGCAGCAGUGGGGAAUAUUGCACAAUGGGCGAAAGCCUGAUGCAGCGACGCCGCGUGAGGGAUGACGGCCUUCGGGUUGUAAACCUCUUUCAGUAGGGAAGAAGCGAAAGUGACGGUACCUGCAGAAGAAGCACCGGCUAACUACGUG